CCCUUAGACGUUCUGGGCAGCACGCGCGCUACAAUGGUCUUCGCAAACGGAUGCAUUCUCGAAGGAGAAUGCCAAUCUUGGAAUCUAUGCCUUGGUCGGGACAGUUGCUUGCAAUUUUUCGACUCGAACCAGGAAUUCCUUGUAAUCGUGAUUCAUCACAUCACGAUGAAUACGUCCCUGCCCUUUGUACACACCGCCCGUCGCUCCUACCGAUCGAAGAGUUAGGUGAAUUGUUUUGAUCGAUAAGAUUUGACUAUGGUCAACUCUCGUUGUGAAAUUCUGUGAAUCUAACUGUUUAGAGGAAGGAAAAGUCGUAACA
This 319-nucleotide ribosomal RNA is filed under the name uncultured eukaryote. Its description in RNAcentral is "partial 18S ribosomal RNA". It matches the Rfam family "Eukaryotic small subunit ribosomal RNA", at positions 1470 to 1796 of the family's 1831-position model. The record is from RNAcentral.